RNAcentral lists this ribosomal RNA (397 nucleotides) under uncultured bacterium. RNAcentral's name for it is "partial 16S ribosomal RNA". It matches the Rfam family "Bacterial small subunit ribosomal RNA", at positions 523 to 918 of the family's 1533-position model. The record is from RNAcentral.
AUACGUAGGGGGCGAGCGUUGUCCGGAAUGAUUGGGCGUAAAGGGCGCGUAGGCGGCGCGGUAAGUCUGGAGUGAAAGUCCUGCUUUCAAGGUGGGAAUUGCUUUGGAUACUGCCGCGCUUGAGUGCAGGAGAGGUUAUCGGAAUUCCCGGUGUAGCGGUGAAAUGCGUAGAGAUCGGGAGGAACACCAGUGGCGAAGGCGGGUAACUGGACUGCAACUGACGCUGAGGCGCGAAAGUGUGGGGAGCAAACAGGAUUAGAUACCCUGGUAGUCCACACUGUAAACGAUGAAUGCUAGGUGUAAGAGGUAUCGACCCCUUUUGUGCCGGAGACAACACAAUAAGCAUUCCGCCUGGGGAGUACGGCCGCAAGGUUGAAACUCAAAGGAAUUGACGGGG